GUUCUACUGCGGCGUUGGUGACUGCCAAUAUUGUUUUUUGAUCUAUGUCUGUUUGAAAAUGGGAACCAAAUGGUUUCGUGGCAGUAAACCGGGCUUGUACCCGGAAACUUAAAACGAAAACGAUCGGUACCCACCUGGUUAAUCCCAGGUCAUAAACUGAGGUAAGACGGCGUUGCGGGGAAUCU
RNAcentral lists this non-coding RNA (185 nucleotides) under Kastovskya adunca ATA6-11-RM4. Its description in RNAcentral is "6S RNA". It matches the Rfam family "6S / SsrS RNA". From Rfam's summary of the family: E. coli 6S RNA was the first non coding RNA to be sequenced, but its function was unknown until recently. It consists of 184 nucleotides that fold into an extended hairpin structure with a large single-stranded internal bulge. Lineage: Bacteria; Bacillati; Cyanobacteriota; Cyanophyceae; Coleofasciculales; Coleofasciculaceae. The record is from RNAcentral. RNAcentral also lists the same sequence under 1 other name.